Molecule: ribosomal RNA, 360 nt
Filed under: Salmonella enterica subsp. enterica serovar Typhimurium
Lineage: Bacteria; Pseudomonadati; Pseudomonadota; Gammaproteobacteria; Enterobacterales; Enterobacteriaceae
Description: bacterial SSU rRNA
Rfam family: Bacterial small subunit ribosomal RNA
Source: RNAcentral
GGGGAUGACGUCAAGUCAUCAUGGCCCUUACGGCCAGGGCUACACACGUACUACAAUGGUAGGGACAGAGGGCUGCAAGCCGGCGACGGUAAGCCAAUCCCAGAAACCCUAUCUCAGUCCGGAUUGGAGUCUGCAACUCGACUCCAUGAAGUCGGAAUCGCUAGUAAUCGCAGAUCAGCAUUGCUGCGGUGAAUACGUUCCCGGGCCUUGUACACACCGCCCGUCACACCAUGGGAGUUUGUUGCACCAGAAGCAGGUAGCUUAACCUUCGGGAGGGCGCUUGCCACGGUGUGGCCGAUGACUGGGGUGAAGUCGUAACAAGGUAGCCGUAUCGGAAGGUGCGGCUGGAUCACCUCCUUU